GGUAUGCUAGCUCACCUUUCAUGCUCCAAUCCAAUAUUAGGGCAUAAGCUGGAAAGUUAUUUAUUAUCCACAUAAGCACUAUGUGCAUAGAAAAUGACUCGUUCAUCAAAGCAUCAAAAAUUGAAACACCCUGAACCCACAACUAUUUCAACUCGGUAAUAAAAGACUACAAAUAGACAUCAAUAUCAUUUUCUACCUCCAUCG
This 204-nucleotide long non-coding RNA is filed under the name Elaeis guineensis (African oil palm). RNAcentral's name for it is "long non-coding RNA (EGUI_LNC036273)". The record is from RNAcentral. Lineage: Eukaryota; Viridiplantae; Streptophyta; Magnoliopsida; Arecales; Arecaceae.